GACGAACGCUGGCGGCGUGCUUAACACAUGCAAGUCGAACGGAAAGGCCCUGCUUUUGUGGGGUGCUCGAGUGGCGAACGGGUGAGUAACACGUGAGUAACCUGCCCUUGACUUUGGUAUAACUUCAGGAAACUGGGGCUACUACCGGAUAGGAGCUCCUGCUGCAUGGUGGGGGUUGGAAAGUUUCGGCGGUUGGGGAUGGACUCGCGGCUUAUCAGCUUGUUGGUGGGGUAGUGGCUUACCAAGGCUUUGACGGGUAGCCGGCCUGAUAGGGUGACCGGCCACAGUGGGACUGAGAGACGGCCCAGACGGCUAAGGGAGGCAGGAGUGGGGAAUAGUGCACAAUGGGCGGAAGCGUGAUGCAGCAACGCCGCGUGCGGGAUGACGGCCUUCGGGUUGGAAACCGCUUUCGCCUGUGACGAGGCGUGAGUGACGGUAAUGGGGAAAGAAGCACCGGCUAACUACGU
This 467-nucleotide ribosomal RNA is filed under the name uncultured bacterium. RNAcentral's name for it is "partial 16S ribosomal RNA". It matches the Rfam family "Bacterial small subunit ribosomal RNA", at positions 28 to 506 of the family's 1533-position model. The record is from RNAcentral.